Molecule: long non-coding RNA, 9421 nt
Filed under: Setaria viridis
Lineage: Eukaryota; Viridiplantae; Streptophyta; Magnoliopsida; Poales; Poaceae
Description: long non-coding RNA (SVIR_LNC000002)
Source: RNAcentral
UAUUUCUUUUUUUUUUGUUCCACUUUGGAUAUUUUAGUAAGUAGUAAGAGUUGUAGAUAUUGACACGAUAUGUUUAGUGGACUGCUGGCAUCUUAAGAUCAUACUCAGUUUGGCAUGCUCUGUACAUUGACUUAAGCUUUGGGUAUGCUCUGAACGUUGCCCUUUAUAUAUUUUAUGAAAUGGAUAAAAUAACUUUGGCACAAUGAAUUUGGUCCUGUAAACUUUAGCUGGAAAUAAAUCUUUGAUUUUAAGUUAAUCUAGCUCACAUUCAAAAAUUUGGUUCUCAAAGACUCCAUGUUUUGUCUAUAUUUCAUACAUUUUAGUAUCUAGUUCAUUCCACCAUCUAUCGUAUCUGUUUUUUACAAUUUGAAACUCUUGAGUCUUGACCUAAAAUAAAGAGAUCGAAUCUGAAUUCAGUAAACUUGUGCCCAGAAAUUUGAAUUUAAAUUUUUGUUAUCUACCUAAAUUGGUCUAUUUUUUUGUGUACAAAUUUUCGUUCCAUCCCAUUUGACUCAUUUUUCUUGUUCUUUUUGUCUCAUCAGUCGUAUGACUAUAGGUAAAAUGAUUGAACUUAUUGGUGGAAAGGCUGGUGUAUCUUGUGGUCGAUUCCAUUAUGGCAGUGCAUUUGGUGAACCAAGUGGUAAUGCUGAUAAAGUGGAAGACAUAAGGUAUACUUCUGUCCUACUAGCAUCUCAAGUUUGUCUAAUUGAUUGUUUUAACACUGUUUUUUCUUUCAUUUUAGCAAUACUCUAAUCAAGCAUGGCUUCAGCUAUAAUGGAAAAGAUUUCUUGUACUCAGGUGUGUUCUAAUAUUAAAUUAUAAAAUUACUUUCUGUAAGCACACUUUGAAAUUUCAUGUUGUGCCCCGUAUUGCUUGGGCUAGUAUGCGGAUUGAAGCUAGACCAAUGUACAAUCACUUAAUGAACAAAAUUACAAAUGCUAAUUGUUACUCCCUGCAAUGUCUUAUAGGAUAUUGAUAGUCUACAAGGGGAAUCUUUCACUAACAAUUUCUAGAAAAUAUGACAUUUCAAAUGAAGAUAAUUAAAUAUUUUGAAAACACUUUUCAUGAUGAAUCUAGUAACAUCUAUUUUAUAUUGCCAAACUAUUUAUUUCUUCAUAUAUUGAUUAUCAAAGUUAAAAAAAAUUGAUCUGCAGAAUUUGAAAUUACCGGGAAUAUUUUGUAAACAUGCACGAUAUAUAAAGCUAUAAAAGAUAUGGGACUUAGAGUCCCAUAUCUUUUCAUCUUCUUAAUAUAAAGAUAAGCAGCGCUUCUGCGUGUUCAAGAAAAAAGAAGAUAUGGGAGGGAGACUUAGCAAACCUAGAUAUGGUGGAACUGGAGCUUCAUAGCUGUUUUCCAUUAUUCUAAUCAUGCUAGUUUCUUUGGUACAACAUUAUAUUUCCUAUUUCUUAAGCACCAAAUGAUUUUUUUUCUAUUUAUGGUGUUCAUCUUUGCUGCUUGGGCCUGCCAUGGAUCCUCAGAGCUGAUUUUUGGCCCCCAUUUUAGGCAUUCUAGGUCAUCCUCUGGAGGCAUACAUCUUCAUGGGACCAAUCUACUAUCAGAAACUGAAGCACAUGGUACGGUUAGUUUAGCUAUAUUGUUCCUUCUUGGUUGACCUGGAUUGAGGCUGUGUUUUCUAAUUCUGCCAUGUGUCACGCUGUACUCUUGUUUAGUGUACACACAAUAGUGUUGUUCUGGGACUUGUCUGGUCUAACUCUUUAAACAUUGGCUAUCAAUAUGUCCUUGAGUAAUAGGGCCUAACAUAUGAAAACGUCAAUUUACAUUCCCACUGAGAGAACUCCCGUAACAAUAUAGUUUACUAGGUUUGCAGAUAAAGUACAAGAGAAAUUGGUGGCCGGAGCUGCAUUUUGGAGACUGUUAACUGGUGAUUUCAAAAACAACAAUUUUUGUGACCUUAGGGAGUAAAUGGGGAAUGAGUUGGUCUUGAUAGAGGUGUCAAAGGCGGAUAUGAAAGGGAGAGCACAACCUUCUUUCGUGUGCAACUGGUUGUAACAAAAUCGUUAUUUAUGGAUAUGUACUAAGCUGGUUUGUAGUUCAGUAGAGAGAAGUGGUUAUAGAUACAGAAAAGGUAGUUUAUAAUUAGCUUAUAAAAAGUAAUGUAGGGGCAGGCUUAGCUUAACUCAUGACCUACCCUAUUGAUGCCAUUUUGCAUGAUGUAAGUAAUUUUAUUAGUUUUUAAGGCAUUAGCACUUUAGCAGUGCCUAAAGAUUGUUGAAAAACUUGAGAUAAGAUUUUUAGAAUUUGAUAUUGCGUUCUUAUUUUUUGUUUUCUGGAUAUCUCAAGCUAUUGGGUGCCUAUUGCAGCAUUUUCGUCUUGUUUUGGAUUCCAGUUGAACUUGUUGAAUCUGUAAACAAUUUUGCUAACUUGAUGAUUCUCCAGGUUCUUGAUAAGAUGCAUGCUCGAGCUAGUGGACCACGAGUGUUGUUAACCAGGCAGCCUACUGAAGGGCGAAGUCGCGAUGGAGGUUUUUCAACACUAUAUACUCUGCAGUUUUAUUAUUAUUAUGUUGGUUCCCUUGUUUAAUAUAUUCCUUUCCUAUAGGUCUGCGUCUUGGUGAAAUGGAACGUGACUGUUUGAUUGCAUAUGGUGCAAGCAUGCUGAUCUUUGAACGUCUACUUCUAUCCAGUGAUCCAUAUCAAGUCCAGGUGAUUUCCAAGUAGUUUCUGAAUUUCUUUUUGGCAGAGACUGGAAUUGUGCAAGGAGCAUAACUGCUCAUGCUGUUGUAUUAGGAUCAGUAAGAUUACGGAACCUUCCUGUUCUUGCUACUCAGUAGAUAAUCAUUGUUCAGUGGGUAAACAGGUCUUAAGGCUGGUAGUAUUUUAUAUAGCUUUUAAUCAUAUACAGUAAAAAAGAGUAAAUGUUAUAUCGGGUGGCUAAGCAUUUAAGCUUCUCUCUUCAGGAAAAUGAACUGAUAAAUCAAGUGUUCUUCUGUUAAUGGUUGAGUAUUUCAAAAGAGUUAACAUAUCCCUUGGCAACAUAGUACAAUAUUUAGUUUAGUUUCAGCGCCAACAUCAAGCACUUAAAUGUCUUUGGGCUUACCUUGUUUAUGGAUUUGAAUGUUGGGGCAGGUUUGCAGAAAAUGUGGCUUGCUGGGGUACUACAACUAUAAACUUAAGACUUCGUACUGUUCAAUGUGCAAGAACGGGGAAAAUAUGGCCAAGAUGAGGCUGCCAUAUGCCUGCAAGCUUUUAUUCCAGGUAGAACCCAACUUUCUCAGGAUCCUAGCGAAGCUUUGUGUUAAUAGUACAGGCUAUAUUAUAAUUGGUCCACAUGCCAUUUACAGUUGAUCUCAUGUGCUCCUCUUAUUUGGUUCCAGGAAUUGCAAUCAAUGAAUGUUGUUCCACGAUUGAAGCUAACCGAAGGAUAGCUUGAGAUUGUGAAUCGAUGAUGGUUUAUGGAGCUGGUUGCCAAGCUGGAUAGUUAAAGGCUUGGUUGAUGUCCAUUUUCUUGGCGGAGUGGAUUGCUGCGGUGUACAAGGAAGGUUUCGCAGCAACAAGGAAGGCUGCACAAUGCAUCCUUGUGCUCUUAUUAUCAAGAGCAUGCAAGGCCCUGGGACUGCUUGUCUGGUUUAUUAACUAUCCAUAUAUAUAAAGUGAGAUGACCGCCUGUUGGAACAAGCGCAUGUAUAUCAUGUCAUGUACUAGUAGUAUCUUAGUUCCAUAUUAAUAAUUGCAAGUAUGCUGAUACUGGAUCUGAAACACAUCAUAGUAGGGAGAUGAUGGCUAGGGAGAUGACCGCCUGCUGGAACAGGAGUUUGCUCUCUGCCUUGAAGGGUGGCUCUAAGCCCUGCUCCUUGAAUUCAUCCUCACAGGUGACAGGCGCAUCGGUGGCGGCGCUCAUGGAUGUCUUGGCAUCGCCGUACCUUCUCUCGUCUAUGGCUGCGAUGGAGGUGUCGAGGUCGUAGAGCGAGUUAUGGUACACUCCAGCGCAUGCCUCCAGGCAGGACCUCCUUGGGGACCAUGGCCUCUCCUUCCUGCUCAGCUCGGCCAUCCUGGUCUCCAUGGUCACCGCACCCGACCUCACCAGCCUGGCUGAAACCAUGGCGAGCCCGUGGAGGUCUUCCUGGCUGCUGCUCUCUGAAAGAGACGAGACGCAGAGGGUGUAGUUCACCUUUGGGUCGCUCUUGCUGCAUCUCUCGCAGGUAUCGGUUACGAUAUCCAACGACUCGCAGGGCAUGGGCAUCAGGAUCAGCAGCAACACCAAGAUGAUACAGCAGGGAUGGUAUGUGAUGUAUGAAGCUGCCAUAUUGAUUGCUGCUGCUGCUCUUGUUACUCUUGUUUAGUGCGCAGACCCACGUCCAUAUAUAGUGGUGGAUGGCUCACGCGCCUGGUGCUUUCUUUUGUCCGAGCCCAGGUGGCUCAAGCGUGUAAGCAAGUCGAUCAUCAGUCGGAUGGCAACUGAAUGCCAAGUUUGCUGUAUUAUAUUGUUGUGAAGAAGAAGAAAAGAAAUUAAUGAAAAAGCCUUUUAUUCCUCCUCCUCCUCCUCCUCCUUUCCCCUCAUCUAUGAGAUGAACUACAACACAUAUUUAAUCAACACACGCACGCACACGGAAAAUAGUAAAAGAAAAAUCCAUCCGAUCAAGGCCAUCUGAAAUCAAAUCAAAACAUGGAAAUACAAACAGCAGAUGCAGAUUUGAAUAUGGUCGGUCGAUCAUGCGGCGGCGUGCGUGAAUCCGAGGGCGAUGUGCGCCAUCCGCCCGUACUCCCUGUCGUGCUCCGCGACGGGGAUGCCUGCAGCGUUCUCCUGGCCCUUCCACGCGUCCUCGCAGCUCUCGGAGGCGCCCAGCGCCGCGGACAGCUGCUCCAUGGCCUUGCCGUAGAUCUGCGCCUUGAGGUUGUCCAGCGCGUCGCGGAGGAGGUCGGCGGCGGCGCCGUACAGCUCCAGGCAGUGGUUGUAGCGGGCGCGCGCGUGCGGCGACUCCUCCAGCUCCGACAGGUCCUCGAUCUUCGACUCCGUGCUGGCGGCGUGGUCCACGGCCAUCCUCGUCGCCAGCACCGCCAGCCCGUGCAUGCUGCCGGCCUCCGCCUCCUUGCUCCGGGGGUCCGCCCCCAGCGACGCCACGCAGUGGUCGUAGGCCACGCCGGCGUGGGUCUCCGACGCACCGCGGCACGCCGCCUCCACGCUCACCGGCUCAGCGCACGACGACGACGACGACUCCUCCUCUGCUGGCACCAACUCCAUCUCCAUCUCCGCCGCCCGCGCCACCGGUGCAAUGCUUACCACCAAGAGGAGGAGGAGCAGGCAGAGCGGCGAUGUGAACCCACUCAUCAUCUCCGCCAUUGCUAUGUAUCCUUUUGCCUUGUCGAUCCUUGUCGCUGCUAAUCAGUAACAACUAAAUGAUGUCUCGAUCUUCUUCUUGUACUAUAUAUACACGUACGUCGCAGAGGAAGGAAGGAAGGAUGGAUGGAUCGGCGGCAGGCAAGGGAGGAGGAAGGGUCGCUAUUUAUCCAAGAAAGACGCUCGGAGGAGAUGGAUCGGAGACCUCUUCUUCUUCUCCCGCCGCCUCAUGGAUCGAUGCCUCUAUUAGCAUGCAGCAGGUAGGCCGAUCGAGAGGCCUCAGCUCCAUCGUUGAAUGCUUCAGCAUGCAUGCACGCAUGCAUCUAUCCAUGGAUCCACCGCCACCACUGCUACUCUGCUAGCCGCCUAAGACGACACUGCUAUUUUAGUACAGUGCAAGGUCGUCUUCUAGAGUAAGAGUGCUUCCUUUUUCCUUUCUUUCUUUGGGUUUCCAUUAACACAUGGCAUCCGUCAGAUGCACUGAUGAAUUGCAUAUCUGUACGUCAUGCAUGAUCAAUCAGCCGAAUUCGAUAAAUGAUCAUCAAAUAAUUAACCACCUUGAGGCCGGACCUUUUCCUUAAUCUAAAAAUAAUUAACCACCAGGUGCCACAGUAGGAAAGAAUAUCACUUUUUCAUGAGUCAUAAUAAUAGAGAUCGAAUUGCAAGGACUAUGGCAUGGAAUAAAGUCCACAGAACUAUAGAUCCUCCCUGCACUAUCUACAAGUCCACCAUUUUUUAAGCAUGUAUGCAGCUGCAGGUACUGUAGAUCGAGCGGCUAGAUGCUAGCAGCCUAGCUAGUGCUCGAUUAAUUGGGAAAACAGCAUAUGCUCAUCGAAUUUCCCUUUUCUUGUCAGGACCCAUCAUAUCAGACCAUGCUCAGAUUAAAGAGAGCUCAUCAGCACCGCUAACAGGUGCCAAGAGAACCAGCAUCCUCUGUAAGUUAUUGCUUUGACAAUUUUGAUCAUUUAAGAACAUACUAAUAAUAAGACCAGAAUGCUAUAUAUAUAUAUAGAAUUUCAUUUGAUAAUAAUAAACCUAAUUAAGGACCAAGAGUCCAAGAAAGAUACUGUAAGUUAUUGCUAUGUUCAAUUUUGAUUUGAAAUCUCCAAAUUUUGGCUUAUUUCUUCAUAUAUAGGAAUGAGCAGUAGUCUGCACAUGGUGUUCUAUGUAUAUCCAUAUACUACUAGGAAAAAUGAGGAGAAAAGCUAUGAAUAUUCUGAGAUACAGUGGUGCAUACUGUAUACACAUAUCUAUAGAUAUCCCUCCCAAUUAUGAUUUCUCUGCUUGUUGCUCCUCCUUGUCGGCCUCUUCUUCAUCCACUUGUUUGUUAUCUGUACAACAUGCCAACGCAUCCUUCUUCUUUCCCCACAGCAAAAGGUAAAGCCCAAAUAUCAUCAGCACCGAACCUAGAAUGCUGUUUUUUGAACCCAAAACACAAAUUAUAUGUCAGUCACAUAUCCAUAUGAAUAAUCGGUACAUACAACUGAGAUAUAAUGAUUAUUGAACAGGAAAAGAGUAUCUUAGUCACCUGCCAAGAUAGAUCUGCUCGUGGAGGAAGAAGAAAUCGAUGAUGGCUACCAUGAUCUGAAUGAUGGGGAUGAAGGCUGCAGUGAAAACUGGACCCCUCUUGUGGACACACCAGGUCAUUAUCAGGAAGCCUGCUGCGGAUGCCACGAUGCCCUAACACCAAAUGCAACCAAGUAUUAUAUACCUGUAGUGUUUCGAAGAGAGGUUGAUUUCUUUGGUGAACAUCCUGCAUAAUCCAUACCAGGUACCAGGUAUAUUUCUCUACAAUAUAUCUAUCCUUGAAAUAUAAUCUGACAGUCGAUCUGGCCAUGCAUGGAAGAUUUGUGCCAGAAAAUUGGAUAAUGCCUAACACAAGCGCGGAUAUGGAGCGAGUGGUGGACAGUUUUGAGCUUAUUGGGUUGCAAUAUCGAGUUUUGUUUUUUUAAAAAAAUGGUCAGUGGAAGUUACUAAGGACAAAAGGUUUCACUAGUGUUUUCUCCUUUUGGGCAAACUGCGCUCAGACUAAAUAUGCUAUCAUUUCUUCGUUGCUGCAAUUGCCGCUUUCCGAAAGCUACUUUGACACGCGUUGCUAGUAUGGACUUUUUCCUUGCAUGGCCAUCGUGUCAUCCAUGAAUAGUUAGGGAUAAUAACUGGAGCCUUUUCAUGCCUAAGCAAGCAGUGUAAACUGUAAAGUUGAGAUGGUAAUGGUAUCUUACUGAAUACAAGAUUGUGAGGAUCUCCAGCCUCCUUGUCACAAUCCACACUGAUGAGUGCCUCUCCAUCGUCACCGUCAGUGCUCCGGCCUGCAGUGUGCUGAUGAAGAACAUGAUGGCGGUGCUGGAGUAGAGCGCCGGGUACUUCUUUGUCAGCCGGCUUUGCAGCAGCAGCCAAAAGGAGAAGAACAGGCAGUUUGCCAGCAAUGAUACAGUUCCCAGCAUCCAGCUCUUCUUGUCAAUACCUACUUGAGAGGAAGCUGCAUGGUGAGAUGAGCUCAGUGCAGCAGCGGUGCUCUGUUGUGUCACGGCAACACCCUUGUAGAGACUUAGUAGAAGCACCCCUCCGAACGACAUGAGCGUCCCGAUGAUCUUUGCAGAUCCUGCUUUGCUCUUCAUGUUGAGUGAUUCCACCCGCAGAGCUAUGGCGAUCAAGAAGGUGAGGACUGGAGCCAAGUUGGCGAAUGUUAUGGCGAACGUCGCAGUCGUGAACUUGAGCCCGUAGAAGAAGGUGUACUGUGAGAGCGCAGCGCUGCACAUCAAGCACACACGUGCCAGGUGAGGUCAAUGUAUGUUUUAUGUGUUGAAAGAAAAAGAAAAAAGCCGAUGUGUGUUCAUGUGUCGUACCCAAGCGCUGCACUGAAGAAGUGGUACACAAAGAUCUCUGCCGUGAGCUUCGGCCUUGUGUUCCUGGAAUGAAAAAGAAGACGAAGCAGAUUACUAGCAGAUAUAGCAUGAUCAGUUAGUUAGUACCUGAAUCAAUGCAUUGCAAUCCACCAUGCAGAAUCUUCAGGUACCGUUCUUUGAAGUAGGCUAUGGGAGCUAGGAAGACGGUUGCCACCAACUGCCGAAGAGUGAUGAGGACCAGGCUGUUGAGCCCUUGUUGGAGCGCCUCCUUCACCAACGCUGUCAUCACAGCAGAGAUGAGGUUGAAGACCAGCAUUGCCAUCACCGGCCUCCACUCAUCCAGGUGUGCCAUUCCCCACAUUGUUGUGACCCUGUCAAUGAAUGUGUACCAAGAUGCUCUAGCUAGGUUCAUAUGCCAAAGAUCUAGUCAGGGACCAUAUAUAGGGCUGCCCUUCCACUAGCCGAUGUCCCGGAAAUGCGACGGCUCUCAUUCAUUACGAGGGGGACAAAAGAAAGGGGCAAGUGCUGCGAGCAUACUACCUUCCUUGCUGCUCUCCAGCUGAAAGUUAACAGUGAAAAUGCAUAUAUUCAUCUGCAAAUCGCAAGAUCAAAUUGCAACACAAAUGUGGAUUAUAAAAUCAUGAUUCAGCCUCAGCACUGACGUUUCCCUUUUUUUAGUGACCCAAAUAAGAUGCCAAUAAAGUGCAGAAAAGCUGGAUGCACUCAGCAUAUAAAAUUCCCAAGAAAGCUCUUUGCACCAUCAGCUGGUAGUGAAUUGUCUGGUCAACUCCGUUUCCUCACCCACACUUUUCUUUUCUUGGAUUCGAAUUAUCUUUGUUUCUGUUUCCUUCACAAACAUUCAGUCCAUCCAUCUACCAGCCAUCAGGUACAAAUUCUAUUCAGCACUACAGCCAGCCAGCAGAAUGCAUGCAUCGCUGUCAACCUUAACCGUGGUAGAUUAUAUUAAACAUAAAUAAAAGGCUUGCAUCCAACAAGAUGGGCGACACAUACACAGAUUGGACGAGGACAAGAAAAUCAGAUGGGCAGGUAAUAGGGUCCAACAUCAAACUCUUUAUCAACCAGGAACGGAGGAGAUAUGCAGGGAACAUGAAUGAACACAAAAAUACUCUCACAAACAAUGUCGAUAGCAUAGAAGCACCCCUCCAAUUACAUAGCAUCCUAAAACAGUACAAACUGAUGAACUUGUGAAGUUUGCAACUGAGUGAUCCAAAACUUGUGAAGUUCGCAACUGACUGAUCCAAUAACACAGCACAAAAAGG